AUGAAUAAUAUAAUCAAUUAUACAAAUUCAGGAGCUAAUCAGAGAACAGUAGACAGUUGGAAAAUAAUUAAUGGCACGGACCCGGUGAUGCCAACGCUAACCCACCUGACAACGCAAACACAGCAGGAUCAAACUCAGCCUCGACAGGGACAUCCAAUAGUCAUUCGGGAUAUUACGGAUAUAAUAUCAUCUUCUUCAACUGCAGUAUCAAAAAAAGGGCGAAAAAUGUAUCAGUGGUUCAGAAAGAAGAGGAGGACAUACAGAGAAGCUAGGUGGUUCUGUGAGGCCAGGGAGAGGCACCUGGUGGAGUUAAGCCAAGCUAAACUGCAGAAACAGAGGACAGAGCAGCUCCUUCAGAGGGUGGAGAGGUCAGACGCAGCUCCAGUGGCAUCGACUAGUGCCUCACACACAUCACCCUUGAGGUGUUGUGUCGUGGUGAUGCUGCAGACAGAGGAGAGCCGAAAAGAAGGGCCCCAGGGCAGGGUUUGA
RNAcentral lists this long non-coding RNA (489 nucleotides) under Oncorhynchus kisutch (coho salmon). Its description in RNAcentral is "lncRNA (ENSOKIG00005027866.1)". Lineage: Eukaryota; Metazoa; Chordata; Actinopteri; Salmoniformes; Salmonidae. The record is from RNAcentral.